This 574-nucleotide ribosomal RNA is filed under the name Kocuria sp. TB10. RNAcentral's name for it is "bacterial SSU rRNA". It matches the Rfam family "Bacterial small subunit ribosomal RNA", at positions 774 to 1344 of the family's 1533-position model. Lineage: Bacteria; Bacillati; Actinomycetota; Actinomycetes; Micrococcales; Micrococcaceae. The record is from RNAcentral.
AGGAUUAGAUACCCUGGUAGUCCAUGCCGUAAACGUUGGGCACUAGGUGUGGGGGACAUUCCACGUUCUCCGCGCCGUAGCUAACGCAUUAAGUGCCCCGCCUGGGGAGUACGGCCGCAAGGCUAAAACUCAAAGGAAUUGACGGGGGCCCGCACAAGCGGCGGAGCAUGCGGAUUAAUUCGAUGCAACGCGAAGAACCUUACCAAGGCUUGACAUUCACCGGACCGCCUCAGAGAUGGGGUUUCCCUUCGGGGUCGGUGGACAGGUGGUGCAUGGUUGUCGUCAGCUCGUGUCGUGAGAUGUUGGGUUAAGUCCCGCAACGAGCGCAACCCUCGUUCUAUGUUGCCAGCACGUGAUGGUGGGGACUCAUAGGAGACUGCCGGGGUCAACUCGGAGGAAGGUGGGGAUGACGUCAAAUCAUCAUGCCCCUUAUGUCUUGGGCUUCACGCAUGCUACAAUGGCCGGUACAAAGGGUUGCGAUACUGUGAGGUGGAGCUAAUCCCAAAAAGCCGGUCUCAGUUCGGAUUGAGGUCUGCAACUGAGACCUCAUGAAGUCGAAUUCGUCUAGUAAUCG